This 484-nucleotide ribosomal RNA is filed under the name uncultured bacterium. RNAcentral's name for it is "bacterial SSU rRNA". It matches the Rfam family "Bacterial small subunit ribosomal RNA", at positions 30 to 507 of the family's 1533-position model. The record is from RNAcentral.
AUUGAACGCUGGCGGCAGGCCUAACACAUGCAAGUCGAGCGGUAGAGAGAAGCUUGCUUCUCUUGAGAGCGGCGGACGGGUGAGUAAUGCCUAGGAAUCUGCCUAGUGGUGGGGGAUAACGUUCGGAAACGGACGCUAAUACCGCAUACGUCCUACGGGAGAAAGCGGGGGACCUUCGGGCCUCGCGCCAUUAGAUGAGCCUAGGUCGGAUUAGCUAGUUGGUGAGGUAAUGGCUCACCAAGGCGACGAUCCGUAACUGGUCUGAGAGGAUGAUCAGUCACACUGGAACUGAGACACGGUCCAGACUCCUACGGGAGGCAGCAGUGGGGAAUAUUGGACAAUGGGCGAAAGCCUGAUCCAGCCAUGCCGCGUGUGUGAAGAAGGUCUUCGGAUUGUAAAGCACUUUAAGUUGGGAGGAAGGGUAGUAACUUAAUACGUUGCUACUUUGACGUUACCGACAGAAUAAGCACCGGCUAACUUCGUG